RNAcentral lists this ribosomal RNA (253 nucleotides) under uncultured bacterium. Its description in RNAcentral is "partial 16S ribosomal RNA". It matches the Rfam family "Bacterial small subunit ribosomal RNA", at positions 524 to 776 of the family's 1533-position model. The record is from RNAcentral.
UACAGAGGGGGCAAGCGUUGUUCGGAAUUACUGGGCGUAAAGCGUGCGCAGGCGGGCUUUUAAGCCAGACGUGAAAUCCCCGGGCUUAACCUGGGAAUGGCGUUUGGGACUGGAAGUCUGGAGUACGGCAGAGGAGACUGGAAUUCCUGGUGUAGCAGUGAAAUGCGUAGAUAUCAGGAGGAACACCGAUGGCGAAGGCAGGUCUCUGGGCUGAUACUGACGCUCAUGCACGAAAGCGUGGGGAGCAAACAGG